RNAcentral lists this ribosomal RNA (373 nucleotides) under uncultured bacterium. RNAcentral's name for it is "bacterial SSU rRNA". It matches the Rfam family "Bacterial small subunit ribosomal RNA", at positions 917 to 1291 of the family's 1533-position model. The record is from RNAcentral.
GGGCCCGCACAAGCGGUGGAGCAUGUGGUUUAAUUCGAUGAUACGCGAGGAACCUUACCAGGACUUAAAUGUAAGUUGCAUGAUUCAGAAAUGAAUCUUUCUUCGGACUACUUACAAGGUGCUGCAUGGUUGUCGUCAGCUCGUGCCGUGAGGUGUCAGGUUAAGUCCUAUAACGAGCGCAACCCCCUAUCGUUAGUUGCCAUCAAGUAAAGUUGGGAACUCUAGCGAAACUGCCGGUGCAAACCGAGAGGAAGGUGGGGAUGACGUCAAAUCAUCACGGCCCUUACGUUCUGGGCUACACACGUGCUACAAUGGUCGGUACAGAGGGCAGCUACACAGCGAUGUGAUGCGAAUCUCAAAAGCCAUAUCGUAG